AAUCUGCUCAGUACAAGAGGAACCACAGGUUCAGACAUUUGGUGUGUGUGCUUGGUUGAGGAGCCAAUGGGGUAAAGCCACUAUCUGUGGGAUUAUGACCCAACGCCCCUAAGUCAGAAUCCC
RNAcentral lists this non-coding RNA (123 nucleotides) under Homo sapiens (human). Its description in RNAcentral is "Eukaryotic large subunit ribosomal RNA". It matches the Rfam family "Eukaryotic large subunit ribosomal RNA", at positions 3022 to 3144 of the family's 3401-position model. The record is from Rfam by way of RNAcentral. Lineage: Eukaryota; Metazoa; Chordata; Mammalia; Primates; Hominidae.